GCCUAACACAUGCAAGUCGAGCGGCAGCGCGAAUAGUAGCAAUACUAUUUGGCGGCGAGCGGCGGACGGGUGAGGAACGCGUAGGAACUUGCCCUUUAGUGGGGGAUAACCAAGGGAAACUUUGGCUAAUACCGCAUACACUCGAGAGAGGAAAGCUGCCGUAAGGUGGCGCUAAAGGAGAGGCCUGCGUCCGAUUAGCUAGUUGGAGAGGUAAAAGCUCACCAAGGCGACGAUCGGUAACUGGUCUGAGAGGACGACCAGUCACACUGGGACUGAGACACGGCCCAGACUCCUACGGGAGGCAGCAGUGGGGAAUAUUGGACAAUGGGGGAAACCCUGAUCCAGCGAUGCCGCGUGGGUGAAGAAGGCCUUCGGGUUGUAAAGCCCUUUAGGUUGGGACGAAGUUUAGUAGAAGAUAACGCUAUUAGAUUGACGGUACCGACAGAAUAAGCACCGGCAAACUCUGUGCCAGCAGCCGCCGUAA
Molecule: ribosomal RNA, 484 nt
Filed under: uncultured bacterium
Lineage: Bacteria
Description: partial 16S ribosomal RNA
Rfam family: Bacterial small subunit ribosomal RNA
Source: RNAcentral